GACGAACGCUGGCGGCGUGCUUAACACAUGCAAGUCGAACGGAAAGGCCCUGCUUGCAGGGUACUCGAGUGGCGAACGGGUGAGUAACACGUGGGUGAUCUGCCCUCCACUUCUGGAUAAGCCUGGGAAACUGGGUCUAAUACCGGAUAGGAGCCAUUUUUAUUGUGAUGGUUGGAAAGUUUUUUCGGUGUAGGAUGAGCUCGCGGCCUAUCAGCUUGUUGGUGGGGUAAUGGCCUACCAAGGCGGCGACGGGUAGCCGGCCUGAGGGGGUGGACGGCCAAAAUGGGGAUGGGGAAAGGCCCAGAAUCCUACGGGAGGCAGCAGUGGGGAAUAUUGCACAAUGGGCGCAAGGCUGAUGCAGCGACGCCGCGGGGGGGAUGACGGCCUUCGGGUUGUAAAACCCUUUCGCUAGGGACGAAGCUUUUUGUGACGGUACCUAGAGAAGAAGCACCGGCUAACUACGUG
RNAcentral lists this ribosomal RNA (465 nucleotides) under uncultured bacterium. RNAcentral describes it as "partial 16S ribosomal RNA". It matches the Rfam family "Bacterial small subunit ribosomal RNA", at positions 28 to 507 of the family's 1533-position model. The record is from RNAcentral.